Molecule: long non-coding RNA, 1280 nt
Organism: Herpailurus yagouaroundi (jaguarundi)
Lineage: Eukaryota; Metazoa; Chordata; Mammalia; Carnivora; Felidae
Exons: 2
Source: RefSeq, a predicted model, not a curated record
AACCCAUGAACUAUGAGAUCAUGACCCGAGCCGAAGUCGGAUGCUCAACCCACUGAGCCACCCAGGCGCCCCUGUAAAGUAUCAGAUUUCUUUCAAGAAAUCUGAUAGAGGAUGGUAAACCGAUAGGAUUUCAUACACCUUGGCAGUAGAUACAGGAGUAUUGAAAAUGUUGCGGCAUGUUCUGUAUGGUUGAAAUGUUGGGGGACGGGUUGAAAGUGCUCCCCUUCUCCCCCUGUUGUGGUUAUCAUUGGGAGAUACUUCUUUGAGGAAUGCAAAAACCAGCCCUCCCAACGCCUUACGAAUGGAUGCUUACGGUUUGGAUAAAAUCUCUAGUCAGAAUAUCAUCUAUCUGAAAAGUGCUACCUUUCAAACACAAAGAUGCAAAGACAUUGUUCUCUAAAAAAAGGUCAGAUCGCUCCAAGAUGCGCCGCUGUGGGAGCAGAGUCAUGUUGAAGGAGCCCGUGGAAAGUUCAAAGUCGUCUCACAAAAACUCAGGCUGGGAAGAGGCGUUCUUUGUGCCCCAUGCUGAGGCAUUUUCCUCUGCUUCAGAGCCGUCUUGUGAACUUCCUGUGACUGCUGUAACAAAUUCCUGCAUACUUAGUGACUUAACCAAUUUCUUACAACAAUUCUGGAGGUCAGAAGUCUAAAAUCAAGGUGUUGGCAAGGCCAUCUUCUUUUUGGAGACCCUAAGAGAAUCUCUUCCCUCACCUUUAUCUGGCUUCUAGAAGCCAUCCAAACUCCUUGGCCUGAGAUCCCUCCGACAUCCUCACGGCCAGCAGCUGGGGGUCUGACCAUCUCUCUGACUCCUACCCCCUGCCUUUGUCUCUUGAGGACCUCCUGAGGACGCUGGGCUCCCUGGGAACCCAGGGUCACCCCCGCCUCAGGGCCCUUAAUCCCUUCUGCCAAGUCCCUUUUGCUAUGUCCGGGGCCAUGUUCACAGGUUCUGGUGAUCACCACGUGUGCACCUUUAUUCUGCCGGCCACAUCUUUCAUACUUGGCUUUAUGAUGUGGGGUUGGAGUGGGCUGAACACGCAGGAAACCACAUUUCUACUUCGCCAGCGGCUCCCCGAAUACUAGAACCUUCUAACCGCAGGGUGGAUGGAGGCCGCAGGAGGGAGAAGGGGUUCUGCGCCUUCCUGUCCUGUCACUCUGUGCGUUUGAGAAUGCCUUUGUUACCUCCACACAUGAAUCACAUCUCAAAUAACUUGACUCACACUUCUUUCCUCUCAGGCUGCUACAGUUUUACUUUGCUCUCUGUGCAAUGAAUGUUUUGUGAAGAA